AUACGUGUAGGGUGGAGAUGCACAACCGUCGGACUGUGUAGCAUUAGGCUUUAUCAAGACGCUUCAUCUCGUCCACAGUCGCCGGUUGAUUCCUCCUCCUGACAGACUUUUGCUUAAGCGGUGCCUUAGUCACCACAGCAAGCAGGACGCGUAAGUCGCGACUUCGUUCUUAGUUACCCGGACGAACCUCGCUAGACACUCGAGUGGUCAACCACUCCUGACGCACCUGACACCGACCGUGAGAAGUCGUGUGUGCCGAACGCCGUUUCCGGCAGCCCGGAAACCGA
RNAcentral lists this non-coding RNA (287 nucleotides) under Pseudomonas protegens Pf-5. RNAcentral's name for it is "rne-II RNA". It matches the Rfam family "rne-II RNA". RNAcentral also lists the same sequence under 1 other name. Lineage: Bacteria; Pseudomonadati; Pseudomonadota; Gammaproteobacteria; Pseudomonadales; Pseudomonadaceae. The record is from RNAcentral.